Molecule: long non-coding RNA, 649 nt
Organism: Sapajus apella (tufted capuchin)
Lineage: Eukaryota; Metazoa; Chordata; Mammalia; Primates; Cebidae
Exons: 3
Source: RefSeq, a predicted model, not a curated record
AAAUCUUUUGGGGAGGGGACAGGGGUCUUACGGAGUAAAAUCAGUUACAGUGGCGGGGGUAGGGGCAAGGAAUAUACAUUACCAUUUGUUAAGUUACAAUGGCGGUGGGGUAAGGCGGAAGAGUAGUUAAGAUGGCGGGGCGGGGUGAGGAGUAGUCACAUUAUCAUAAUAACAGUUAAGAUGGCAGGGUGGGGUGAGCCAUCUUAACGGGGGAAGCUCGGCUGGGCUAUCAGGGAUAAUGGCGAACCCAGGCGGCGGAUCAGCCAGCCAAGGCAGGCAGGAUUUCUGACCUUCUGGGUCCGGGCUUGCACAUGGAGGCCUGACAGAGGGGCCCUGCUGUUCCCCAGGUCUCCCCUCCGCAGUCAUCUCUUACCCUGAGCCCGAGUUGGGGAGGUGCCCGGGGCCUUUCGUGUGACACGGGAUGUUCUGCCAGCCCAGCUCCAGCCCCUAUAAAAAGGCACUUCUCCAGAUGCAGGCGUCUUGCUCCAAACCCUCCUGUGGUUGUGUGGGCCAAAGACAUCAGGAGACAGACAGAGAGCAUUAGAAAACCUGAGAUAGAGAAAACAAGAAUGAGGAAGACCCAUAACAGAUGGCAAAGUAGAAGAUGGGUGAGGGUUUUGCCAAGAGACAGCAAAAGUGAAAAAAAAAA